CCUUGUACAAACUUGCGUUGACAUUCUACUGUAAAAUGUAAAAACUUCCAGAACCAUUAUGUGUUUUGGAUAGAGCCAAAAUGAUAAAAGUUUGUGGAUAAUGUUCGUUGAUAAAUUGCAAUGUGUUAGAUGCUGAUCGACUUUGUCAUACUAACUCAUACUCAUACUAAGAGAUGCAAGCAACAACAAGUUUCCUGAAGAAUGUUCCAGCCCGAGAGUUAGAAACAAUGUGUUUGUAUAAGUUGUGGAAUAUCUUUGUGAAGGCAUACAAGAGGACAAAAUCACAGGCCAUAGGCUUAUGGAAAGAAAUAAAGAGUGACAUAUCUCCAAGACAGAUGCUUGAUGGAUGCCCAUGUAUGCGUUGUUUGCAGAAUGAGCUCACCUCAAAUGCAUUAAUACCUAGCGAACAUAAGAGCUGUGUUAAGUGUGCCAUUGCAUUGUAUGUAGCUAUUUAUGUUCAUAGAUGUUGUUAAACUAUGAGCUUAAAUCACUUUAUAAUUUAUAUUAUCAUGUCAUUAAAUAAUUAAAAAGCUAGUUAGGAACAUAA
Long non-coding RNA from Pectinophora gossypiella (pink bollworm), 547 nucleotides. RefSeq lists it as uncharacterized. NCBI's taxonomy places the organism in Eukaryota, Metazoa, Arthropoda, Insecta, Lepidoptera, Gelechiidae. The record is from RefSeq and is a predicted model, not a curated record. The transcript is spliced from 3 exons.